Molecule: ribosomal RNA, 1025 nt
Filed under: uncultured bacterium
Lineage: Bacteria
Description: bacterial SSU rRNA
Rfam family: Bacterial small subunit ribosomal RNA
Source: RNAcentral
AGUGGGGAAUAUUGCACAAUGAGGGACACCUUGAUGCAACCAUGCCGCGUGUGUGAAGAAGGCCCGAGGGUUGUAAAGCACUUUCAAUUGUGAGGAAGAUUAAGUAGCUAAUAUCUGCUUAAUUUGACGUUAACUUUAGAAGAAGCACCGGCUAACUCUGUGCCAGCAGCCGCGGUAAUACAGAGGGUGCAAGCGUUAUUCGGAAUUACUGGGCGUAAAGCGCGCGUAGGCGGACUGUUAAGUCGGUUGUGAAAGCCCUGGGCUCAACCUAGGAACUGCAUCCGAUACUGGCAAUCUAGAGUUUAAGAGAGGGAAGUGGAAUUCCAGGUGUAGCAGUGAAAUGCGUAGAUAUCUGGAGGAACAUCAGUGGCGAAGGCGACUUCCUGGCUUAAAACUGACGCUGAGGUGCGAAAGCUUGGGUAGCGAACGGGAUUAGAUACCCCGGUAGUCCAAGCCGUAAACGAUGUCAACUAGCUGUUGGUCUUAUUAAAAAGAUUAGUAGCGUAGCUAACGCGAUAAGUUGACCGCCUGGGGAGUACGGUCGCAAGAUUAAAACUCAAAGGAAUUGACGGGGGCCCGCACAAGCGGUGGAGCAUGUGGUUUAAUUCGAUGCAACGCGAAGAACCUUACCAUCCCUUGACAUCCUGCGAACUUUCUAGAGAUAGAUUGGUGCCUUCGGGAACGCAGUGACAGGUGCUGCAUGGCUGUCGUCAGCUCGUGUCGUGAGAUGUUGGGUUAAGUCCCGCAACGAGCGCAACCCUUAUCAUUAGUUGCUAACAUUUAGUUGAGAACUCUAAUGAGACUGCCGGUGAUAAACCGGAGGAAGGCGGGGACGACGUCAAGUCAUCAUGGCCCUUAUGGGAUGGGCUACACACGUGCUACAAUGGGGGGUACAAAGAGCAGCCAACUGGCGACAGUGCGCGAAUCUCAUAAAACCUCUCGUAGUCCGGAUCGGAGUCUGCAACUCGACUCCGUGAAGUCGGAAUCGCUAGUAAUCGUGAAUCAGAAUGUCACGGUGAAUACGU